RNAcentral lists this long non-coding RNA (190 nucleotides) under Pelusios castaneus (West African mud turtle). Its description in RNAcentral is "Nuclear RNase P (ENSPCEG00000011154.1)". It matches the Rfam family "Nuclear RNase P", at positions 1 to 189 of the family's 301-position model. Rfam says of the family: Ribonuclease P (RNase P) is a ubiquitous endoribonuclease, found in archaea, bacteria and eukarya as well as chloroplasts and mitochondria. Its best characterised activity is the generation of mature 5'-ends of tRNAs by cleaving the 5'-leader elements of precursor-tRNAs. Lineage: Eukaryota; Metazoa; Chordata; Testudines; Pelomedusidae. The record is from Rfam by way of RNAcentral.
AGAAACUUGAAGCUCACCGCUGAGGUCACAUGCAGCUUGCUUGUCACUCACUGGCUAAUGCCUCUGGGAAGGUGUGAGACAAGAGACGCUGGCUGCCCUAGAUGGGCAUCACCUGCUGCAGGUGGAUGAGUUACCAGCCUAUAAUUUAACAUAGUGCAUUUAAUAGACUAAACCUGAAUUUUCCCACUCU